This 508-nucleotide ribosomal RNA is filed under the name uncultured bacterium. Its description in RNAcentral is "partial 16S ribosomal RNA". It matches the Rfam family "Bacterial small subunit ribosomal RNA", at positions 29 to 523 of the family's 1533-position model. The record is from RNAcentral.
AUUGAACGCUGGCGGCAGGCCUAACACAUGCAAGUCGAGCGGCAGCGGGAAAGUAGCUUGCUACUUUUGCCGGCGAGCGGCGGACGGGUGAGUAAUGCCUGGGGAUCUGCCCAGUCGAGGGGGAUAACAGUUGGAAACGACUGCUAAUACCGCAUACGCCAUACGGGGGAAAGGAGGGGACCUUCGGGCCGUUCGCGAUUGGAUGACCCCAGGUGGGAUUAGCUAGUUGGGGGGGUAAUGGCUCACCAAGGCGACGAUCCCUAGCUGGUCUGAGAGGAUGAUCAGCCACAAUGGAACUGAGACACGGUCCGGACUCCUACGGGAGGCAGCAGCGGGGAAUAUUGCACAAUGGGGGAAACCCUGAUGCAGCCAUGCCGCGUGUGUGAAGAAGGCCUUCGGGUUGUAAAGCACUUUCAGCGAGGAGGAAAGGUUGGUAGCUAAUAACUGCCAGCUGUGACGUUACUCGCAGAAGAAGCACCGGCUAACUCCGUGCCAGCCGCCGCCGUAA